CUUUCGUCAUUCAAUGGUUGGAAUGCCUUCAUCAACAAAACAGAUACAUGCUAAUUUUAGAUCCUCGAUCUGCGAUUGUUGCAUAGUACUGUUAGUUUCGAAGAGCGUCAUACAUUAUUAGAGCCGGUUUCUUAAGGAUUUAGUGUUAACUGUUGGAACAAAUAUCAGAUUAAGGUCAGAAGAACGGAGGGAGGACAAGGAGACAUAUUUAGGAAUGAAGUCGAGUAGGUUUGGCUGUUCGAGUCUCUGUGCUUUAAAUACUACGGAUACAGUGCUCUAUAUUGAAUGAGGAUAUAGCGCUAAUAAGACCAAGGAGCAGAAUAUUACAUUAUUGUAAUAUGUGUAAUCCCUGACCUAACUAAUGUUAUCUCUCUACAUAUUUGCAUAGUUUAAAAUGAUCUUACCAAAAUAAAAUAAUUCUGGACAAUCAACCAAAGCAUUCAUUGACAUUAUCAUGAAUACUUACGAACCAUAUAUCAUUAAAUUAUUCUUCAGGUUCAGAGGACCAUGUGGCACAUGCUCCAUUGGUGAUCGUGACAUCAUCUAAACUAAUGUCACCAGUAAAAUCAAUUCCCCUAAUUCCUUCAACAUC
Molecule: long non-coding RNA, 592 nt
Organism: Anneissia japonica
Lineage: Eukaryota; Metazoa; Echinodermata; Crinoidea; Comatulida; Comatulidae
Exons: 3
Source: RefSeq, a predicted model, not a curated record